This 90-nucleotide small nucleolar RNA is filed under the name Kryptolebias marmoratus (mangrove rivulus). RNAcentral describes it as "Small nucleolar RNA SNORD70 (ENSKMAG00000000855.1)". Lineage: Eukaryota; Metazoa; Chordata; Actinopteri; Cyprinodontiformes; Rivulidae. The record is from RNAcentral.
CAGCUGCUGCCUGUGAUUACAUUUUGCUGUCUGAAACAGUUGUGUGGAUUUUCUCUCAGCAUUCGUCACUACCACUGAGGCAGUAGAUUG